Small nuclear RNA from Fukomys damarensis (Damara mole-rat), 100 nucleotides. The record is from Ensembl. Lineage: Eukaryota; Metazoa; Chordata; Mammalia; Rodentia; Bathyergidae.
GCUGGCUUCAGCAGCAGAUUCCGAAACUGGAGCAAUUCAAAGAUCAGCCUGGGCCCUGCACAAGGAUGGUCCACAUACUUCUGAAGUUGUGCAUGUUUAA